AUGGGCGGCCAUUUCCUCCCCUCACGACCCUGGGCCACGCACCUCCAGUUUUCCACCCAAAUGGGGAUUUUGGCAUUUUCUUCCCUCACCCAAAAUCCCUCCUGCACCACCAAAUCAUCCCCUCAGGAUGUGGGGAAUCCUUUUUCUGCUCUUUUUUCACCCAAACGGGGAUUUUGGCAUUUUCCCCUCUCCCAAAUCAUCCCCUCAGGAUGUGGGAAAUCCUUUUCUUGUUUAUUUUCCACCCAAACGGGGAUUUUGGCUUUUUCUUCCCUCACCCAAAAUGUCUCCUGCAUCUCUCCAUGGGAUCUGGGGAAUCCUUUUCUUGCUCUUUUUUCCCCCAAAUGGAGAUUUUGGCAUUUCCCCUCAUCCAAAAUGAUUCCUACAUCUCUCCAUGGGAUGUGGGUGAAUCCUUUUUCUGCUCUUUUUCCACCCAAAUGGGGAUUUUGGCAUUUUCCCCUCUCCCAAAAUCCCUCCUGCACCCCCAAAUCAUCCCCUCAGGAUGUGAGGAAUCCUUUUCUUGUUAAUUUUCCACCCAAACAGGGAUUUUGGCUUUUUCCCCUCAUCCAAAAUGCCUCCUGCAUCUCCCCAUGGGAUGUGGGAAAUCCUUUUCUUGCUCUUUUUCCACCCAAACGGGGAUUUUGGCUUCUUCUCCUCUCCCAAAAUGCCUCCUGCAUCUCCAGAUCAUUCCCUCAGGAUCUGGUGAAUCCUUUUUCUGCUCUUUUUUCACCCAAACGGGGAUUUUGGCAUUUUCUUCCCUCAUCCAAAAUGAUUCCUACAUCUCUCCAUGGGAUGUGGGUGAAUCCUUUUCCUGCUCUUUUUCCACCCAAACAGGGAUUUUGGCUUUUUCCCCUCACCCAAAAUGCCUCCUACAUCUCUCCAUGGGAUGUGGGAAAUCCUUUUCUUGCUCUUUUUUUCCCCCAAACGGGGAUUUUGGCAUUUCCCCCCCUCACCCCCCUCUGCCCAAAUCCCCCCAUUUUCAUCCAGCAAAGCCCAUGGCUAAAACUGCCUUUAGUUUAUUUCCUCCCCUCCAAUAAAUAUAUAUAUAUAUACAGUCUGAACUCAACAUUUACGUGUGUGUGUAUAUAUAUUUAUCCAACGCUCUCACACAACAAAAAAAAAAAAAAAACAACCUUUUUUUUGAAGAGGGCACGUGGAGCUGAGUUUUUAUUUUUUCCCAGUAACUCAGUAUAAUAAGCACUGGUAUUUUUGUAUAAAAAAAACAGGAGAGAAAAAAGGGGAAAAAAACCAAAAUAUGAAACAAAAGACUGAAUAUUAUGUGGUAUGCAUGACAUUAAAAAACAAAACAAUGGUGGUUUCAAAGCAAUAUGUACCCUGGUGUGUUUGCCAUAUCCUAGAGUCCAGCUUAAAGUGCACCUGAUCUGUAUUGCAUUUUGAUAUUAAUCUCUAUG
This 1409-nucleotide long non-coding RNA is filed under the name Chloebia gouldiae (Gouldian finch). Its description in RNAcentral is "Erythrura gouldiae (Gouldian finch) lncRNA (ENSEGOG00005008147.1)". Lineage: Eukaryota; Metazoa; Chordata; Aves; Passeriformes; Passeridae. The record is from RNAcentral.